UACAGAGGGUGCGAGCGUUGUUCGGAAUUAUUGGGCGUAAAGGGCGCGUAGGCGGUGCCACAAGUCACUUGUGAAAUCCCCGGGCUUAACUCGGGGCCUGCAGGCGAAACUGUGGUGCUGGAGUAUGGGAGAGGUGCGUGGAAUUUCCGGUGUAGCGGUGAAAUGCGUAGAUAUCGGGAGGAACACCUGCGGCGAAGGCGGGUUGCUGGGCUGACACUGACGCUGAAGUGCGAAAGCUAGGGGAGCGAACGGG
Molecule: ribosomal RNA, 253 nt
Filed under: uncultured prokaryote
Description: partial 16S ribosomal RNA
Rfam family: Bacterial small subunit ribosomal RNA
Source: RNAcentral